This 58-nucleotide ribosomal RNA is filed under the name Peponium vogelii. RNAcentral's name for it is "partial 28S large subunit ribosomal RNA". The record is from RNAcentral. Lineage: Eukaryota; Viridiplantae; Streptophyta; Magnoliopsida; Cucurbitales; Cucurbitaceae.
ACCCCAGGUCAGGCGGGACUACCCGCUGAGUUUAAGCAUAUCAAAAAGCGGGAGGAAA